UACGUAGGGGGCAAGCGUUGUCCGGAUUUAUUGGGCGUAAAGAGCGUGUAGGCGGCUUUACAGGUCCGUUGUGAAAACUCGAGGCUCAACCUCGAGACGCCGGUGGAAACCGUAAGGCUAGAGUCCGGAAGAGGAGAGUGGAAUUCCUGGUGUAGCGGUGAAAUGCGCGGAUAUCAGGAAGAACACCCGUGGCGAAGGCGGCUCUCUGGGACGGUACUGACGCUGAGACGCGAAAGCGUGGGGAGCGAACAGG
This 253-nucleotide ribosomal RNA is filed under the name uncultured bacterium. RNAcentral's name for it is "partial 16S ribosomal RNA". It matches the Rfam family "Bacterial small subunit ribosomal RNA", at positions 524 to 776 of the family's 1533-position model. The record is from RNAcentral.